RNAcentral lists this ribosomal RNA (1178 nucleotides) under Apiospora arundinis. Its description in RNAcentral is "eukaryotic LSU rRNA". It matches the Rfam family "Eukaryotic large subunit ribosomal RNA", at positions 68 to 1277 of the family's 3401-position model. The record is from RNAcentral. Lineage: Eukaryota; Fungi; Ascomycota; Sordariomycetes; Amphisphaeriales; Apiosporaceae.
ACAGGGAUUCCCUAGUACGGCGAGUGAAGCGGGAACAGCUCAAAUUUGAAAUCUGGCCCUUGGGUCCGAGUUGUAAUUUGCAGAGGAUGCUUUUGGUGCGGUGCCUUCCGAGUUCCCUGGAACGGGACGCCUUAGAGGGUGAGAGCCCCGUACGGUUGGCCACCAAGCCUGUGUAAAGCUCCUUCGACGAGUCGAGUAGUUUGGGAAUGCUGCUCAAAAUGGGAGGUAUAUUUCUUCUAAAGCUAAAUACUGGCCAGAGACCGAUAGCGCACAAGUAGAGUGAUCGAAAGAUGAAAAGCACUUUGAAAAGAGGGUUAAAUAGCACGUGAAAUUGUUGAAAGGGAAGGAUUUAUGACCAGACUUUUUCUGGGGGGAUCAUCCGGUGUUCUCACCGGUGCACUUCCCCCAGUUGAGGCCAGCAUCGGUUUCUGCCGGGGGAUAAAAGCUUUGGGAAUGUGGCUCCUUCGGGAGUGUUAUAGCCCGUUGCAUAAUACCCUGGCGGGGACCGAGGUUCGCGCAUUGCAAGGAUGCUGGCGUAAUGGUUAUUAAUCACCCGUCUUGAAACACGGACCAAGGAGUCGAACAUUUGUGCGAGUGUUUGGGUGUUAAACCCUCACGCGUAAUGAAAGUGAACGGAGGUGAGAGCCUUUAGGGGUGCAUCAUCGACCGAUCCUGAUGUCUUCGGAUGGAUUUGAGUAAGAGCAUAACUGUUCGGACCCGAAAGAUGGUGAACUAUGCGUGGAUAGGGUGAAGCCAGAGGAAACUCUGGUGGAGGCUCGCAGCGGUUCUGACGUGCAAAUCGAUCGUCAAAUCUGCGCAUGGGGGCGAAAGACUAAUCGAACCAUCUAGUAGCUGGUUACCGCCGAAGUUUCCCUCAGGAUAGCAGUGUUGUGUUCAGUUUUAUGAGGUAAAGCGAAUGAUUAGGGACUCGGGGGCUAUUUAUUGCCUUCAUCCAUUCUCAAACUUUAAAUAUGUAAGAAGCCCUUGUUACUUUAUUGAACGUGGGCAUUCGAAUGUAUCAACACUAGUGGGCCAUUUUUGGUAAGCAGAACUGGCGAUGCGGGAUGAACCGAACGCGAGGUUAAGGUGCCAAAGUAAACGCUCAUCAGACCCCACAAAAGGUGUUAGUACAUCUUGACAGCAGGACGGUGGCCAUGGAAAUCGGAAUCCGCUAAGGA